AAUAAGGGUGAAAUAAUAAAGGCCACAAGAAGAAGAGCGCCAAUUUGAUUGAGAUAAGGUUUUUCUUGUUUGCUCCCUUAUUGUAUAACAUAACAAGAAGCAACCCAAUCCUGUGGCUCUCUCUCUCAAUCCCUUCAACUAAGUGAGAGCAAGCAAAAGGGAGAAGAGAAGUGCGUUACUCUUCAAGAAACUAAAAAAAUCGUAUCCUCUUUUUUGCAGUAAAGAAUCUUUGAAUUGAGUUCAAGGCAAAGUAUCUUAUUUUUUUCUUCCUUUAAACCCUAAUAAACAUCUAAUCGAAGAAAACAAAGAGAGGAAAGCGAUGACUACUCUUCAAGCUUCUCUUAUCUUCAAGCCUUUACCUUCUCCUCUUUUCCAUUUUUCUUCUUCCAAACCCUUUUACUCCCUUCGUUUAUCCACAACAACUGCGUUUACUUCUUUAAAGCCUCGUUUUUGCCGCCACAAUUUACUCCUUCACUGUACAUUGACUCCUGAAAAUGUCAGUUCUGAUUUUGCCUUAUCCAAUAAUAAUGAUAAUGAAAUUGAACCCCAAGAAUUCAAUAAACCCCAAGAAUUCAAUGAGCCCUCCUCCUUUGGUGAGAGCAGUAGUUCAAUUGAAGAAGCGAGUAAUGUUGUGGAAUCUGAGGUAUUGGUGGAGGAGAAUGGGGAAAUGAAGAGGAAGUUGCCUAUAGUGGUUUUCUUGAUGGGGUUAUUUGCUAAGGUCAAGAAUGGGUUUGAGAAGAUUUUGCUGUCUGAUUGGUUUAGUUGGUGGCCCUUUUGGCAGCAAGAGAAGCGUCUCGAUAGAUUGAUUGCUGAUGCUGAUGCUAAUCCUAAGGACACAGCUCUGCAGAGUGCUUUGCUUGUUGAACUCAACAAGCACAGCCCUGAGUCUGUCAUUCGGCGCUUUGAGCAGAGAGCUCAUGCUGUAGACAGUAGAGGAGUCGCAGAAUAUUUACGAGCUCUUGUGGUGACAAAUGCUAUUGCCGAAUAUCUACCUGAUGAGCAAUCCGGAAAGCCUUCUAGUCUUCCUUCACUGUUGCAAGAAUUGAAGCAGCGGGCAUCAGGGAACAUGGAUGAGCCGUUUCUCAAUCCUGGCAUUUCCGAGAAGCAGCCAUUGCAUGUUGUGAUGGUUGAUCCUAAAGUUUCAAGCAGAUCAUCACGUUUUGCGCAAGAGUUUCUCUCAACUAUCAUAUUCACUAUUGCCAUUGGCUUGGUCUGGAUAAUGGGUGCUACUGCACUUCAGAAAUAUAUUGGUGGCUUAGGUGGGAUUGGAGCUUCUGGUGUCGGUUCAAGCUCAUCCUAUGCCCCGAAAGAGUUGAAUAAAGAAAUAAUGCCUGAGAAGAAUGUCAAAACGUUUAAGGAUGUCAAAGGUUGUGAUGAUGCUAAGCAAGAGCUUGAGGAGGUUGUUGAGUACCUCAAAAAUCCUGCUAAGUUCACUCGGCUUGGGGGAAAGUUGCCGAAGGGCAUUCUUUUGACUGGAGCUCCUGGAACAGGAAAAACCCUCCUUGCCAAGGCUAUCGCUGGAGAAGCAGGGGUGCCUUUCUUCUAUAAGGCAGGCUCUGAAUUUGAAGAAAUGUUUGUGGGAGUUGGUGCUCGACGUGUUAGAUCUUUGUUUCAAGCUGCUAAGAAGAAGGCUCCAUGCAUCAUAUUUAUUGAUGAAAUUGAUGCUGUUGGAUCAACUCGAAAGCAGUGGGAAGGUCAUACUAAGAAAACACUGCAUCAGUUACUUGUUGAGAUGGAUGGUUUUGAGCAAAAUGAGGGAAUAAUAUUGAUGGCUGCGACCAACUUGCCUGAUAUACUUGAUCCUGCCUUGACAAGACCCGGUAGAUUUGAUAGGCAUAUUGUAGUUCCAAACCCAGAUGUGCGGGGCCGUCAAGAGAUCUUAGAGCUUUAUUUGCAAGACAAACCAGUUGGUGAUGAUGUCGAUGUGAAAGCGAUUGCUCGUGGAACACCAGGAUUCAAUGGAGCAGAUUUGGCAAACCUUGUGAAUAUUGCUGCCAUUAAGGCUGCUGUUGAAGGUGCUGAGAAGCUAAAUGCAUCACAGUUGGAGUUUGCAAAAGAUAGAAUAAUAAUGGGAACAGAACGCAAAACCAUGUUCCUGUCAGAAGAUUCAAAGAAGCUAACUGCAUAUCACGAGAGUGGCCAUGCAAUUGUUGCCUUGAAUACUGAAGGUGCACAUCCAAUCCAUAAAGCUACAAUCAUGCCACGUGGAUCUGCUUUGGGAAUGGUUACACAGCUUCCUUCAAAUGAUGAGACAUCAAUCAGCAAAAAGCAGUUGUUAGCACGGCUUGAUGUUUGUAUGGGAGGAAGAGUAGCUGAGGAGCUGAUCUUUGGUCAAGACAAUGUAACUACCGGGGCUACUAGUGACCUUCACACAGCUACAGAACUUGCUCAAUACAUGGUUUCCUAAGAAAUUACCUAAACGAUAAUAGGGUGUUGGGAAGAAAAGAUUGUCCUAUGCAAAAUUAUCAGACAGAUCAACUAAAUCUGUGCACUAAAAUAACAUAAAGAUAACAAGGUUGGGAUCUCACUCAUAGAAGACAAUUGAAUGACUGGGAGAUAACAAGAUUAGCUGAUCUUUACAAGGAGCUGGAAGCAUUUAAAGGAACACAGGAAGGGGUGGAUUCACUUUGGUGGCAGACGCACAAUAGUGGGGUCUAUAUGGUGAAGGAUGCAUAUAAGAUUUUGAAUCAAAAUGAUCUUCAGAUUGGCCAUGGAAGCAUAUAUGGAGAAUAAAGGUUCCCUAUAAGGUAGCAUGUUUCUCCUAGCUACUAGCAAAGGAGGCUGUCUUAACACAGGAUAAUCUCAUAAAGAGAGGAAUCUCUUUGUGUUCAAGAUGUUAUCUAUGUGGGGAAAAUGCUGAGACGGUUAGCCAUUUAUUCCUACAAUGCAAGAUAACAGACCAUCUGUGGAAAAUUUUUAUUAGUCUCAGGGGUAUUUUUUGGACAAUGCCAUACAGGAUUAAUGAAGUUCUUUUUAGUUGGGAGGAAGCGGGAGUUCAAGCGAAUAACAGAGACAGAUGGAGGAUGGUCCCAGCAUGUAUCUGGUGGUUUGGAAGGAAAGGAAUGCUAGAUGUUUUGAAGACAGAAGCAAGUAUCGUCCUGUGGGAUGAGUGAUGCAAUUGGACCUGUUCACAUCAAAGAGCGGCCAAGUGCUGAAAUGCAAUCACGUAUUGACGCGGAG
Molecule: non-coding RNA, 3180 nt
Organism: Nicotiana tabacum (common tobacco)
Lineage: Eukaryota; Viridiplantae; Streptophyta; Magnoliopsida; Solanales; Solanaceae
Source: RefSeq, a predicted model, not a curated record